Molecule: ribosomal RNA, 484 nt
Filed under: uncultured bacterium
Lineage: Bacteria
Description: partial 16S ribosomal RNA
Rfam family: Bacterial small subunit ribosomal RNA
Source: RNAcentral
AUUGAACGCUGGCGGCAGGCCUAACACAUGCAAGUCGAGCGGAUGAAGGGAGCUUGCUCCUGGAUUCAGCGGCGGACGGGUGAGUAAUGCCUAGGAAUCUGCCUGGUCGUGGGGGAUAACGUCCGGAAACGGGCGCUAAUACCACAUCCGUCCUGAAGGAGAAAGUGGGGGAUCUUCGGACCUCACGCUAUCAGAUGAGCCUAGGUCGGAUUAGCUAGUUGGUGGGGUAAAGGCCCACCAAGGCGACGAUCCGUAACUGGUCUGAGAGGAUGAUCAGUCACACUGGAACUGAGACACGGUCCAGACUCCUACGGGAGGCAGCAGUGGGGAAUAUUGGACAAUGGGCGAAAGCCUGAUCCAGCCAUGCCGCGUGUGUGAAGAAGGUCUUCGGAUUGUAAAGCACUUUAAGUUGGGAGGAAGGGCAGUAAGUUAAUACCUUGCUGUUUUGACGUUACCAACAGAAUAAGCACCGGCUAACUUCGUG